AACGGUCUAUACCUGCGGUACCUGCGGAAGGAUCAUUACCGAGUUGCAAAACUCCCUAAACCAUUGUGAACCUACCUGUACCGUUCCUUCGGCGGGCGGCGUCGCGCCCUAACCUGCCCCCCUCGCGGGGGAGCGGACCCGCCGGAGGCCCCUAAACUCUUAACUUUAGUUGGCAUCUCUGAGUAAAAUCAAAAAUAAGUCAAAACUUUUAACAACGGAUCUCUAGAUCGGAAGAGCACA
RNAcentral lists this unclassified non-coding RNA (240 nucleotides) under soil metagenome. RNAcentral describes it as "partial contains 5.8S ribosomal RNA, internal transcribed spacer 2, and large subunit ribosomal RNA". The record is from RNAcentral.